UACUGUACUUUACAAAUUUUUUCACUUCGUGUACUAAACUAUUUUUUCCAUUACAACAAUAUUGGCAUUUAGCAACAUUUUUCUAGCAACACUUAAGCAUAUGCCACUAUUUAUUUUAUUUAGUAACACACAAAUAAAAGUGUUGCUAAAUAUAUAAAUUUAUCAACAUUAUAUAAUAAAUGUUGCUAAAGGCUAUAAUUACUGGCAUAUAUUAUUAUAUGUCACAAUAAAAAUUAAUAUUUAAAACU
This 248-nucleotide long non-coding RNA is filed under the name Ananas comosus (pineapple). RNAcentral's name for it is "long non-coding RNA (ACOM_LNC030701)". The record is from RNAcentral. Lineage: Eukaryota; Viridiplantae; Streptophyta; Magnoliopsida; Poales; Bromeliaceae.